AGUGUUUAAGGAACCAGUAUUUGAUAUAGCUAAAGAUCCUCUGUAUCUGGUUUUUUUUUUUAGAAUUCUUAUGAGAAAUUUACAUCCAGGCACUAUCAUAGAUCCCAAUUUUGAUAUAGAUGUCUCACUUUGUUGCCUAGGCUGGAGUGCAGUGGUGAUUCUGACACAUGAUCAUAGCACACUACAGCCUCUAAAUCUUGGGUUCAGGAGAUUCUCCUGCCUCAGCCUCCCAAGUAGCUGAGACUACAAGUAAGUGCUACUGAACCUCAAUAUUUAAUUUCACUUCUUAACUUAAAAUAUUGGAUAAAUUUAGAAUUAAUUUAGAUUUUUAAAAUGAGAAUGAUUUCCAAACUUUUAUUAUUGAAAUAGUAAUUAGUCACAAUGUGACUGAUUAAAUUUUGUAUUUUUUCUCACAUUGCCCCCUCUAUGUUAGACAAUAUUUUUAUAUCUGUGUGAAUUGCUCUAUGCAUUAUGCUAUUUUCUUAAACAAUUUGCCUAUUUCAGUGCCAGUAACCAAAAUUAUUAGUUUAGCCUUUUGUCUUCAUAUUUUCUACAUAUUCUCUUUUCCUGUACUUUAAUUCUUUUAUAUGAGCCAUUUAAUAUGACUUUCUAUGUUCAAAAAUGUUUGUAAGUGAAUUGAUCAGUGUGAGAAUUGACAUAUUUAUGGCAUUGUCUUUUUCCUCUGUAAAAACAUUUUACAUUUUUAAAAAUAUUUAAAUCCUUUUUAUGUGUUUAAAUAAUUAGAAUUGUAAGGCUUUUCUGCUAAAGUUCCUAUUUUUUUCUUGGAAGACUUUCUUGUAUAACUAUGAUGGUUUACUUUUAUUAAAUGCUGGAGAUGAUUAUUGUUAAUACAGAGAAAAGCUAUUGUUAUUUAUAUAUAAAUUCCUAUAAUGAACCCUAUACACAUUUGUUAUUGCAUGCGUUAACAUUUUUCAUUUGAUUUUGGUAUUGAUUUUCCAACUAUUAAAUCUCAUUAUACACAAUAAUGAUAAAUUUUCAUCUUUUCUAUAACUUUAAUUGAUUUCUUUCUGUUGAAUGCUUGAAUUUACUGCUAAUUCCAGAAAAAUACCUUAAAUAAUGUUAAUGAUUUUGAACCUGCUUGUUUACAUUUGAUUUAAUACUGAUAUAUGCUUCUGGGUUUUUAAUGUUUAGAUCAGUUUAGGUUUUUCAAUGAAAUGUGGAGGAAUGAGAUCUAGAGAACAAGGGAGUAAGUGAGAGUAAUGGCAAGUGCAAAGGAAAAAGAUGGACAAGACUAAUGGAGGAAAUCAAGAAGGAAAAGAGAGAGGCAGACAGAGAGAGAGAGAGACUUAUUUGAGGUAUUUUUUUAAAAUCAGUAAUUGAUGAAUUUUUCAAAUAAUUCUUAAGUCUUUAGCUUUUAGCUUAUUUGUGUUAUUAAAAUUUUAAAAUAUAGAAUCAUUUAACCUAUUACUGUGGUCUCAAUAGAUUUUCUAAUACUUGUCUUUUGUACAUUUGCACAUCCUAUGAUCUUUUCAAGUCAAAUCCUGUGACAUCUGUCUGAGGUGGGGCAAGGUAAAGGUAUUAGGGAUGUUGAUAUGUUAACUGUUUUGUACAUGAUAACACCUUUGUUGAGCUAUACAAGUAUGAUCAUUGAAUAAGAGAAGAAAGAAGACAGUAUGAUUUAAACAGCUAAUUACUGGAAAUAGUGAGAUAUGGUGUCAGAUA
Molecule: long non-coding RNA, 1683 nt
Organism: Callithrix jacchus (white-tufted-ear marmoset)
Lineage: Eukaryota; Metazoa; Chordata; Mammalia; Primates; Cebidae
Source: Ensembl